Molecule: ribosomal RNA, 329 nt
Filed under: uncultured bacterium
Lineage: Bacteria
Description: bacterial SSU rRNA
Rfam family: Bacterial small subunit ribosomal RNA
Source: RNAcentral
CCUAACACAUGCAAGUCGAACGGUAACAGGAAGAAGCUUGCUUCUUUGCUGACGAGUGGCGGACGGGUGAGUAAUGUCUGGGAAACUGCCUGAUGGAGGGGGAUAACUACUGGAAACGGUAGCUAAUACCGCAUAACGUCGCAAGACCAAAGAGGGGGACCUUCGGGCCUCUUGCCAUCGGAUGCGCCCAGAUGGGAUUAGCUAGUAGGUGGGGUAACGGCUCACCUAGGCGACGAUCCCUAGCUGGUCUGAGAGGAUGACCAGCCACACUGGAACUGAGACACGGUCCAGACUCCUACGGGAGGCAGCAGUGGGGAAUAUUGCACAAU